UGAGAGGUAGAGGGGUCCCUCAGCCUGGAUUGCGAGAGGGCACAGGCCAGGCCGAGGGACUCCACUGGUGCACA
This 74-nucleotide microRNA precursor is filed under the name Myotis davidii. Its description in RNAcentral is "mir-9193 microRNA precursor family". It matches the Rfam family "mir-9193 microRNA precursor family". Lineage: Eukaryota; Metazoa; Chordata; Mammalia; Chiroptera; Vespertilionidae. The record is from Rfam by way of RNAcentral.